This 468-nucleotide ribosomal RNA is filed under the name uncultured bacterium. RNAcentral's name for it is "partial 16S ribosomal RNA". It matches the Rfam family "Bacterial small subunit ribosomal RNA", at positions 28 to 507 of the family's 1533-position model. The record is from RNAcentral.
GACGAACGCUGGCGGCGUGCUUAACACAUGCAAGUCGAACGGAAAGGCCCUGCAUUUGUGGGGUGCUCGAGUGGCGAACGGGUGAGUAACACGUGAGUAACCUGCCCUUGACUUUGGGAUAACUUCAGGAAACUGGGGCUAAUACCGGAUAGGAGCUCCUGCUGCAUGGUGGGGGUUGGAAAGUUUCGGCGGUUGGGGAUGGACUCGCGGCUUAUCAGCUUGUUGGUGGGGUAGUGGCUUACCAAGGCUUUGACGGGUAGCCGGCCUGAGAGGGUGACCGGACACAUUGGGACUGAGAUACGGCACAGACUACUACGGGAGGCAGCAGUGGGGAAUAGUGCACAAUGGGCGGAAGCCUGAUGCAGCAACGCCGCGUGCGGGAUGACGGCCUUCGGGUUGUAAACCGCUUUCGCCUGUGACGAAGCGUGAGUGACGGUAAUGGGUAAAGAAGCACCGGCUAACUACGUG